UUAUUGAAAAGUAUUACCCCAAGUGAGAGGCUCAUUAACGCUCUGCAAAGAAAUCACAGUGAGCAGCAGAAUGCCAUCUACCUGCAGAAGAACCAGACUAAUCUGGAGAGGAAAUUCGCCUACCAGCUGAGCCAGGGCAUCAUCAGAUGAAAAAGGUGAAAGAGCAGUAUGAAGAACCAAUAGAAGAAAUCACUGAAAUAGAAAAUUAAGCUGUAGGUCAUAGACCUUACUGAAGAAAAGGAAAAACAAAAUCCAAAACAAAGCCAAUAGCUGAGGCUUCAUCCAGGCUUAGCCCAGGCUGUAGGAAGCAGGCCUGCCACAAACGCCCUGAGGGAAAGGAAAUGAGCAACCCAAAUACCAGACCCUAGUUCUGAGAUAGCUUUGGAUUUGAAAAGACAGGACAAGAGAAAACCAGUGAGACUCAAGGUGUCAGCUAGAAGCCUCCGAGGAAUAUCCUGAAGCGGCCUCAAAAGCCAGGAUGAGAGCAAAGACAAAACUGUGUGAGGAAGAGGUGUUGGGGAAGGGGAAGGGGAAGGACUUGCCCAAACCCUGAAAGUGUCAGCUACUCUACUGGCGAGCCAGGAAAAUUCAGAGGCUGAGGACCCUGAGUGGGACCAGCCUGUCAUCAGUGAGGGUGAGGAAGAGCAGGAUGUCGAAGAAGAAAGCCCAGGGAUGACUACAGCGUGGCUUAAAAUAAGGCAGAAUCCAAAACAGACAAGGAGGCAGCCCCUGCAGAAUAAGGAAACUCUAAAUGUCCUUA
This 760-nucleotide long non-coding RNA is filed under the name Homo sapiens (human). RNAcentral describes it as "non-protein coding lnc-STYX-9:1". The record is from RNAcentral. Lineage: Eukaryota; Metazoa; Chordata; Mammalia; Primates; Hominidae.